This 91-nucleotide transfer RNA is filed under the name Alphaproteobacteria bacterium. RNAcentral describes it as "tRNA-Ser". It matches the Rfam family "tRNA". Rfam says of the family: Transfer RNA (tRNA) molecules are approximately 80 nucleotides in length. Their secondary structure includes four short double-helical elements and three loops (D, anti-codon, and T loops). The record is from RNAcentral. Lineage: Bacteria; Pseudomonadati; Pseudomonadota; Alphaproteobacteria.
GGAGAGGUGGCCGAGUGGUUUAAGGCGCACGCUUGGAAAGCGUGUUAGGGUUCAUAGCCCUACGUGGGUUCAAAUCCCAUCCUCUCCUCCA